UACGUAGGGAGCAAGCGUUAUCCGGAUUUACUGGGUGUAAAGGGCGUGUAGGCGGGCCUGCAAGUCAGAAGUGAAAUCUGGGGGCUUAACCCCCAAACUGCUUUUGAAACUGUAGGGCUUGAGUGAAGUAGAGGCAGGCGGAAUUCCCGGUGUAGCGGUGAAAUGCGUAGAGAUCGGGAGGAACACCAGUGGCGAAGGCGGCCUGCUGGGCUUUAACUGACGCUGAAGCACGAAAGCGUGGGUAGCAAACAGG
Molecule: ribosomal RNA, 253 nt
Filed under: uncultured Oscillospiraceae bacterium
Lineage: Bacteria; Bacillati; Bacillota; Clostridia; Eubacteriales; Oscillospiraceae
Description: partial 16S ribosomal RNA
Rfam family: Bacterial small subunit ribosomal RNA
Source: RNAcentral